This 498-nucleotide ribosomal RNA is filed under the name uncultured bacterium. RNAcentral's name for it is "partial 16S ribosomal RNA". It matches the Rfam family "Bacterial small subunit ribosomal RNA", at positions 28 to 506 of the family's 1533-position model. The record is from RNAcentral.
GACGAACGCUGGCGGCGUGCCUAAUACAUGCAAGUCGAGCGGACUUUCAAGAAGCUUGCUUUUUGAAAGUUAGCGGCGGACGGGUGAGUAACACGUGGGCAACCUGCCUGCAAGACGGGGAUAACUCCGGGAAACCGGGGCUAAUGCCGGAUAAUAUCUUCCUUCGCAUGAAGGAAGGUUGAAAGGCGGCGCAAGCUGCCGCUUGCAGAUGGGCCCGCGGCGCAUUAGCUAGUUGGUGAGGUAACGGCUCACCAAGGCGACGAUGCGUAGCCGACCUGAGAGGGUGAUCGGCCACACUGGGACUGAGACACGGCCCAGACUCCUACGGGAGGCAGCAGUAGGGAAUCUUCCGCAAUGGACGAAAGUCUGACGGAGCAACGCCGCGUGAGCGAAGAAGGUCUUCGGAUCGUAAAGCUCUGUUGUCAGGGAAGAACAAGUACCGUUCGAACAGGGCGGUACCUUGACGGUACCUGACCAGAAAGCCACGGCUAACUACGU